CCUACGGGUGGCAGCAGUGAGGAAUAUUGGUCAAUGGACGAGAGUCUGAACCAGCCAAGUAGCGUGAAGGACGACUGCCCUAUGGGUUGUAAACUUCUUUUAUAAAGGAAUAAAACGAGGCACGUGUGCCUGUUUGCAUGUACGUUAUGAAUAAGGAGCGUCUAACUCCGUGCCAGCAGCCGCGGUAAUACGGAGGAUCCGAGCGUUAUCCGGAGUGAGUGGGUUUAAAGGGAGCGUAGAUGGGUUGUUAAGUCAGUUGUGGCAGUUUGCGGCUCAACCGUACAAUUGCAAUUGAGACUGGCAGUCUUGAGUACAGUUGAGGUAGGCGGAAUUCGUGGUGUAGCGGUGACAUGCUUAGGUAUCACGCAGACCCCCGAUUGCGAAGGCAGCUUACUAAACUGUGACUGACAUUGCUGCUCGACAGUGUCGGUAUCAAACAGGAUUCGAUACCCUUGUCGUC
RNAcentral lists this ribosomal RNA (460 nucleotides) under uncultured bacterium. RNAcentral's name for it is "partial 16S ribosomal RNA". It matches the Rfam family "Bacterial small subunit ribosomal RNA", at positions 338 to 795 of the family's 1533-position model. The record is from RNAcentral.